RNAcentral lists this ribosomal RNA (500 nucleotides) under uncultured bacterium. RNAcentral describes it as "partial 16S ribosomal RNA". It matches the Rfam family "Bacterial small subunit ribosomal RNA", at positions 30 to 523 of the family's 1533-position model. The record is from RNAcentral.
AUUGAACGCUGGCGGAAUGCUUUACACAUGCAAGUCGAACGGCAGCACGGACUUCGGUCUGGUGGCGAGUGGCGAACGGGUGAGUAAUGUAUCGGAACGUGCCCAGUCGUGGGGGAUAACGUAGUAAAAAUUACGCUAAUACCGCAUACGAUCGAUGGAUGAAAGCGGGGGAUCGCAAGACCUCGCGCGAUUGGAGCGGCCGAUAUCAGAUUAGGUAGUUGGUGGGGUAAAGGCCCACCAAGCCAACGAUCUGUAGCUGGUCUGAGAGGACGACCAGCCACACUGGAACUGAGACACGGUCCAGACUCCUACGGGAGGCAGCAGUGGGGAAUUUUGGACAAUGGGCGAAAGCCUGAUCCAGCCAUUCCGCGUGCAGGAUGAAGGCCCUCGGGUUGUAAACUGCUUUUGUACAGAACGAAAAGGUUUCUACUAAUACUAGGAGCUCAUGACGGUACUGUAAGAAUAAGCACCGGCUAACUACGUGCCAGCCGCCGCUGUAA